UCAUAUAUUUAAACAAGUGGUUCCGGUCACGGCAGUCUUUUAGAAGGUUGUAGAGUUUUCCGGACGUGGAAUCUUGCUGGAGGAAGUGGGUCACUGGGGUUUUGUAGCCCGGUCCCACACAGCCCAACUCCACUUCCUGUCUGUUUUCUGGUUUCUGGUCUACCAAGAGUUGAGGCGGAAACCUGGCUGCACACUGCUGCUACCAUGGAGCAGCCAGCGCCAUUUCUACUUCUCCAUGAUGGGCUGGAACUAUAAGCCACAUGAAGACCUUCUUCCACCAAGUUGCUUUUUCUCAGCCACAUGUAACUCCAGCUCCAGGAGGAUUCAAUACCCUUGAUCUCAGUAGUCACCUGCAUAGAGGAUAUUAGCAAAUCGACGGCAUCAGCUACGGGCAUGAACACCACCCUGCUCCUUACACUGAAAGGGAUAGUACUUCUGGCUUCUAGUGCCAUGCCCCGAAAUAGAUUCUUAAAAGUGUUUCAAUGGAGAGGAAGCAGUGGGUGGAAAUACCAGAAGCCAUGUCUGUAUGAUCCGGAGCCAGGAAGUUUGUCAGAACUGCUGUCUGUUAGGAAAGCAUCUUGAGAGACCAUGCUUCUUGACAAAGUUCACAGAGCGGUCUGAAGAAAGCCAAGAGUGGCCCAUCAGGCAUCUCCUCUGUUGUGAACCAGACUUUGUGAGAGAAAGCCAUGCCCUUCCCAUCUUCCUUCGAAGGAAAGAGCCUACUAACAGUAACGAGACUUCAAGCCAACUGACCCGUUGCUGGCAGGGCUGGCUGUGUAGGAAGCCCCGGUGCCUAUGAAUGCCCUGAUACCCAUGGUGAAUGUAAGGGUAAAAUGUUUCCAGGUUCUUGACCUCUUAACCAAAGAACAGAAAUUAAAAACCGAUACAAAUUUACAAAAGUCACAAGGAAACGUCAUUUAAAGUAAAAGGAUAGAAAAGACCAGAAUACACUACAAGAAUCCAUGGGCCUCACGAGUGGAGGUGCUCAAGGGCCCCGAUUAUUGUUGGGACUUCCUUUUACUGGAUUAAAAGAAGGAAGGCUUUGGUGACCAGGGGAAUCUUGAGGGUGGUUCUCUGAUUUGACUGGCAGGUUAAGUCAUAUGAUCAUUUUUCUACUGUGCAUGCCUCUUCCCAAAAUGCAUCUGAUUUUAAUCAAGUGCUUGCCCACUUAGACACAGUAUCAAGGGCAGAGGGAGACGUACUUGGGAAGAGGUGCGCUCAGUGGGAAGUGUCUCCAUCAGACUGGUGUAAGGGGCAUGUUCUUGGUUGCUAAUUGAUAUAGGAUGGUCCAGCCCACUGUGGACCGUACCAUCCCUGGACAGGUAGUCAGGAGCUAUCUAAGCAACAUUAGGAUGUAUGAGGAAUACUUUUGAACAGAAACUGUCGGAGUUUGAUAGAGAUGAGAAAUAUACCCCAUUAUUCAGAGAGGGGUGUGUGUGUGGCCUGAUGAUGGUGAGGUCUGAGGUUGUUGGGUGAAUUGUUCAGUGAGAGGCGUGUGUGCACAGCAUGUGCAGGCAAAGGAGCAAGGCUGCCAUGUGUGUUAUUAAAAGGUAGGCAUGCAAACCCAAGGGGAGUCCUGGGUUACUAAACCAUUCCCUACGCUUCUCUACUUCACCCCACACGAGGCAUGCCGCUAUGCUGAAAUAACUCAUAAGAUGUUUCACAGUGUCAUUUUUAGAGAGGUGAGAGGGCUCUGGGGCCGCUGCACAGUCUUUAGAGGUGUCCUUGUUACCUGGAGCUGUUGUUAGCUUUAGAAUGUGUGUCCUGACAACCCCUAGCAAGCCACAUCCAGGCUCGCAGUAGAGACAAGCUAGGACGAUGGUGAUGGCAGAACCACAUCCUAACCCAGAUUGCUCCUUAACAUGCUCAACUCAAACCCUCGUAUGAGAACCCACAAAGACAAAGGACAUUGGUUCUCUUUGUUCUUUCCAACCAAUGUGGUCACAUUAAACACCCCUCCCCCCAUUACUUGUUUGUUUAAUUGACUUGUUGAGGACAGAUGACCAAGCCUGGUUUGUCAGGGGUCUGUCAGGGCUCAGGCUCUGAUCCACAUAAAUCGAGUAACACAGUGACAACCCCCACCUGAGUCUAUACUGGGUCCUGGCAUGAGGUUCGGGUUUAAAUAGUGGGCAAGGGCUCUGUCUAACCGAGAGGUCCUAGCCAAGGUAUGGUCCCACACGGAUCGCUGUCUCCAGGCCAGUCUGUCCUGCAAGGUGGUCUAACAAGUGCUUGGAACUGUGUGAAAUCUCUUCCCAGAGAACUCCCUGAGGAGAUGCCAAUUCCCGUCAUUGUUUCAAUAGUCUGAUAGCCAAAGGGAUAGAGGCACAGGUCUUCAUUCCUGCUGGGAUGGUCACACCCUUUCCUAGAGAGCUGGAACGAUGGACACAGGAAGAUCUGUCUUCCUAUGGAUGUCAUGGUAAGGGUGAAGGCUGACAGCUAGCCCAGGUCUCUGCCUUAACGACCUCAGGAUUCCACAGUGACGAGCCUUCCUCACAGACAGAGCCAACCAGAAGUUUCUUCUACUGGCAAAAGAGAAGCGCUAUGUUUUUAACUAUACUAGUCAUUUUCUGUUUGUUAGGGUUUUUUUUAUUAUAGCAUUUGUGGAAAUAGGAAAGCUAGUGCUAUUUUUAAUUUUAUUACAUUUUUAUGACUCUGUGUACUGAAGCACAAAUAUAGAAGUCAGGGGACAACUUGGAGUUGGCUUUCUCCUUCCACUCUGGAUCUAGGGACUCAAGGAGGGUCACCAGCUUGGUGGUUGUCACCUUUAUCAUCUGAGCCAUCUCACUGGGCCUCAAGUAUUGUUUGUGUUUUUGGGGAACAGUCCACUUGGUCCAACGCAGAAGAAAGGCCUUGUAGACUUGAGUUCUGAGUACACCACACCCAUUCUUGAAUCUCAGCACCCGUCUUCCUUACGGCUCCCAUUAGAGUUUCUGGGUCCUCCCACUUCCUGAAUUUUCAUCCCGGAAGUUUGACAAGACCCUCCUUUGAGUUCAUCCUCAUCAGUAAAUAUGAGAGAAUUAUGUGAUUUCCUCUGAGCUUCUGUCUGACAUAGAACAGAAGUGAAUGGAGGAUAUAGAACUACUUCCUAAUCUGUGAUGAGAUUAUAUUCCUGAUCUCCCCAAAGCUCUUGCAUAUAUAUAAGAUACUUUCUCCCUGAGUCUUUGUCUCUCUGUCUCUGUCUCUGUCUCUGUCUCUUGCAACUGUGCUCCUUGUAGAGUUCUGUCCCCGCUCUCCUCCUUAGUCAGGGGGGUCCUCCCUUGUGCUGCUUGGAAACUCUGUUUGAGUAUGUGAUGGAAACUUGAGCAGCAGAGGACCCUAGGCUGUCCCAGAGACAGGCUGCACUAACACAUUGGAGUGCCUCGGAGGCUUUUAAAAUCAGCCACAUUGGAGUACAGUUGACGCAGGAUAGAAUGCAGUGCUAGUGAAAACAAUAAUGCCCCAAUAAUGAACACAUCCACCAGACUCCUCAUUGCCCUCGUGCCUUUUGCAGUGAAUCCCACAUGCCUCCUAGCUAAGCAUCCUUAGUAACCAUGGCUUCAGCCACUAAGGAUUAGAUCGUGCUUUCUAAAAAUUUGUCCAAAUAAAAAUAACAAUUAACACAUUGGGAAUUAAAAUAUAUAACUGAGCAGAAGUCAUCUUUUGCUCAGUCUUUGAAGACUUCAUGCAUGAAGCUGUGUGAUUCCACAGUCUGCAGCUCUUUCUCCGUCCAUCUGUUGAGGGACCUGGGGAUCGAGGACAGCUUGUAUGUAUAGAUACAGCUCAUGUGAAAGUCUGUGGGAAAGUGUAUACAGCCAUGUUUCCAAUUUCAGUGUUCUUGGGUAAGCAUUUAUAAG
Molecule: non-coding RNA, 3833 nt
Organism: Rattus norvegicus (Norway rat)
Lineage: Eukaryota; Metazoa; Chordata; Mammalia; Rodentia; Muridae
Source: RefSeq, a predicted model, not a curated record